GAUGAAGAACGCAGUGAAAUGCGAUAAGUAGUGUGAAUUGCAGAAUUCAGUGAAUCAUCGAAUCUUUGAACGCACAUUGCGCCCCAUGGUAUUCCGUGGGGCAUGCCUGUUCGAGCGUCAUUUACCCCCUCAAGCUCCGCUUGGUGUUGGGCGUCUGUCCCGCUUCGCGCGCGGACUCGCCCCAAAGGUAUUGGCAGCGGUCGUGCCAGCUUCUCGCGCAGCACAUUGCGCUUCUCGAGGCACCGGUGGGCCCGCGUCCAUCAAGCUCACCCCCCCAGUUUGACCUCGGAUCAGGUAGGGAUACCCGCUGAACUUAAGCAUAUCAAUAGCGGAGGA
This 336-nucleotide unclassified non-coding RNA is filed under the name soil metagenome. RNAcentral's name for it is "partial contains 5.8S ribosomal RNA, internal transcribed spacer 2, and large subunit ribosomal RNA". The stretch from base 1 to 120 matches the Rfam family "5.8S ribosomal RNA", at positions 35 to 154 of the family's 154-position model. The record is from RNAcentral.